UAUGAGGCUAUACAUUAUAGUUAUAACCAUGUUAUGAGGCUAUACAUUAUAGUUAUAACCAUGUUAUGAGGCUAUACAUUAUAGUUAUAACCAUGUUAUGAGGCUAUACAUUAUAGUUAUAACCAUGUUAUGAGGCUAUACAGGACUGACCAUCCAUGAUGUCAACAUUAUAGUUAUAACCAUGUUAUGAGGCUAUACAGUUUUUGUUUAUAUAUACAAUGUUUACAAACAUUGGGGGAAAACAACUCAUGUGGAACAAACUUAAACGUGUGCCUUUCUUCAAUGCUGAUUUCAAUGUCAUUAAGGAUUAUUUUUUCCGCAAACAUCCUUCCUGAAUUUAAAAGUUAUCCUCUAAGUAAUAAUCUAGUUUUUCAAGGGUAUCUGUAAUCUGAUUACAAUAUUUUAGUUACGUAACGGAUUACAGGUACCGUUUUUUGUAAUCCCUAAUAUGUUUGAAAACGUUGUGAGUUUAGCUAACUAGCCUGGUUGCCAGCUAGCUAACGUUAUCUAGCUGGCAGUUUCAGCACUGGCCUAAGUGGCCAGCUCCCUGCCACACACACACACACACAUACACACACACACACACACACACACACACACACACACACACACACACACACACACACACACACACACACACACACACACAGUCAGUACCAUAGCUAGCUAGCUAAAUUCUAUGUCAUUGUAACAAUUUAGAAGUUGACCCCUGUAAACAUAAGAGAGAGUACAUUUAAAUAUUGUGUGUAUUGUUUUGUUAUUUAACCUAUGUAAGGCUGUAAACAUACUUAGUAAGCUGCUAUACGUAUUGUGUUGUUUGUUUCCAGCUCCUCCUGGCCGUGGUGGUACUGUCGUGGACCUACGUCAUCUAUGGGAGUAGAAUAGCAGCACAGAGACAGUUGGAGAAGAGACUCAACAUCAAACUACACAACUAAAGCACCAGCGGCUAGCACAACUCCAAUACACUAAAGGCUGGAGUUAUGAAUACCGUGGGCAUUCCCAAGACAAAGUCAAGGCCCCUGGACGAGUCUCCAUCCCGUUGCUGUGAUGAAGUCUGUCUUUACUGACCAGCUGCUCUUUCUGUCUCAUUUAUACUCCACUGUGCUGAAUGCUUUGUUACCAUGUUAGUUUGUCUUAGAUGUGAGUCAUAUUUUUCAUAUCGUGCAAAAUUAUUUUUAUUAAUAAAAAUUGAAAAAAACUAAGAGUUACCAA
Long non-coding RNA from Oncorhynchus tshawytscha (Chinook salmon), 1212 nucleotides. The record is from Ensembl. Lineage: Eukaryota; Metazoa; Chordata; Actinopteri; Salmoniformes; Salmonidae.